This 511-nucleotide ribosomal RNA is filed under the name uncultured bacterium. RNAcentral describes it as "partial 16S ribosomal RNA". The record is from RNAcentral.
GGAGUUAGCCGGUGCUUCUUCUGCGAGUAACGUCACAGAUGUAAGGUAUUAACUUACACCCUUUCCUCCUCGCUGAAAGUGCUUUACAACCCGAAGGCCUUCUUCACACACGCGGCAUGGCUGCAUCAGGGUUUCCCCCAUUGUGCAAUAUUCCCCACUGCUGCCUCCCGUAGGAGUCUGGGCCGUGUCUCAGUCCCAGUGUGGCUGAUCAUCCUCUCAGACCAGCUAGGGAUCGUCGCCUAGGUGAGCCUUUACCUCACCUACUAGCUAAUCCCACCUGGGCUUAUCCAUCAGCGCAAGGCCCGAAGGUCCCCUGCUUUCCCCCGUAGGGCGUAUGCGGUAUUAGCAGUCGUUUCCAACUGUUAUCCCCCACAAAUGGGCAAAUUCCCAGGCAUUACUCACCCGUACGCCGCUCGUCAUCUUCAAAAGCAAGCUUUUGAAAUGUUACCGCUCGACUUGCAUGUGUUAGGCCUGCCGCCAGCGUUCAAUCUGAGCCAGGAUCAAACUCUGA